AACGAACGCUGGCGGCAUGCCUAACACAUGCAAGUCGAACGAGACCUUCGGGUCUAGUGGCGCACGGGUGCGUAACGCGUGGGAAUCUACCCUUGGGCUCGGAAUAACAGUUAGAAAUGACUGCUAAUACCGGAUGAUGACGUAAGUCCAAAGAUUUAUCGCCCAAGGAUGAGCCCGCGUAAGAUUAGCUUGUUGGUGGGGUAAUGGCCUACCAAGGCGACGAUCUUUAGCUGGUCUGAGAGGAUGAUCAGCCACACUGGGACUGAGACACGGCCCAGACUCCUACGGGAGGCAGCAGUGGGGAAUAUUGGACAAUGGGCGAAAGCCUGAUCCAGCAAUGCCGCGUGAGUGAUGAAGGCCUUAGGGUUGUAAAGCUCUUUUACCAGGGACGAUAAUGACAGUACCUGGAGAAUAAGCUCCGGCUAACUCCGUGCCAGCAGCCGCCGUAA
This 449-nucleotide ribosomal RNA is filed under the name uncultured bacterium. Its description in RNAcentral is "partial 16S ribosomal RNA". It matches the Rfam family "Bacterial small subunit ribosomal RNA", at positions 29 to 523 of the family's 1533-position model. The record is from RNAcentral.